Molecule: small RNA, 125 nt
Filed under: Marmota monax (woodchuck)
Lineage: Eukaryota; Metazoa; Chordata; Mammalia; Rodentia; Sciuridae
Source: RNAcentral
GCUGGGCAUGGUGGUGCAUGCCUAUGAUCCCAGUUGCUUGGGAGGCUGAGGCAGGAGGAUCAUGAGUUCAAAGCCAGCCUCAGCAAAAUCAAGGUGCUAAGCAAAUCAGUGAGACCCUGUCUCUA